UGGGGAAUUUUGGACAAUGGGCGAAAGCCUGAUCCAGCAAUGCCGCGUGUGUGAAGAAGGCCUUCGGGUUGUAAAGCACUUUUGUCCGGAAAGAAAUCCUUGGCUCUAAUACAGUCGGGGGAUGACGGUACCGGAAGAAUAAGCACCGGCUAACUACGUGCCAGCAGCCGCGGUAAUACGUAGGGUGCAAGCGUUAAUCGGAAUUACUGGGCGUAAAGCGUGCGCAGGCGGUUUGCUAAGACCGAUGUGAAAUCCCCGGGCUCAACCUGGGAACUGCAUUGGUGACUGGCAGGCUAGAGUAUGGCAGAGGGGGGCAGAAUUCCACGUGUAGCAGUGAAAUGCGUAGAGAUGUGGAGGAAUACCGAUGGCGAAGGCAGCCCCCUGGGCCAAUACUGACGCUCAUGCACGAAAGCGUGGGGAGCAAACAGGAUUAGAUACCCUGGUAGUCCACGCCCUAAACGAUGUCAACUAGUUGUUGGGGAUUCAUUUCCUUAGUAACGUAGCUAACGCGUGAAGUUGACCGCCUGGGGAGUACGGUCGCAAGAUUAAAACUUAAAUGAAUUGACGGGGUCAUAGCUGUUUCCU
RNAcentral lists this ribosomal RNA (585 nucleotides) under uncultured bacterium. RNAcentral describes it as "partial 16S ribosomal RNA". It matches the Rfam family "Bacterial small subunit ribosomal RNA", at positions 355 to 1375 of the family's 1533-position model. The record is from RNAcentral.